RNAcentral lists this ribosomal RNA (705 nucleotides) under Lysobacter sp. C4. RNAcentral's name for it is "bacterial SSU rRNA". It matches the Rfam family "Bacterial small subunit ribosomal RNA", at positions 75 to 776 of the family's 1533-position model. Lineage: Bacteria; Pseudomonadati; Pseudomonadota; Gammaproteobacteria; Lysobacterales; Lysobacteraceae. The record is from RNAcentral.
GUCCUUCGGGAUGCCGGCGAGUGGCGGACGGGUGAGGAAUGCGUCGGAAUCUGCCUCUUUGUGGGGGAUAACGUAGGGAAACUUACGCUAAUACCGCAUACGACCUACGGGUGAAAGCCGGGGACCUUCGGGCCUGGCGCAGAGAGAUGAGCCGACGCCGGAUUAGCUAGUUGGCGGGGUAAAGGCCCACCAAGGCGACGAUCCGUAGCUGGUCUGAGAGGAUGAUCAGCCACACUGGAACUGAGACACGGUCCAGACUCCUACGGGAGGCAGCAGUGGGGAAUAUUGGACAAUGGGCGCAAGCCUGAUCCAGCCAUGCCGCGUGUGUGAAGAAGGCCUUCGGGUUGUAAAGCACUUUUGUUGGGGAAGAAAAGCCAUGGGUUAAUACCCUGUGGUUCUGACGGUACCCAAAGAAUAAGCACCGGCUAACUUCGUGCCAGCAGCCGCGGUAAUACGAAGGGUGCAAGCGUUACUCGGAAUUACUGGGCGUAAAGCGUGCGUAGGUGGUUUGUUAAGUCUGAUGUGAAAGCCCUGGGCUCAACCUGGGAAUGGCAUUGGAAACUGGCUGACUGGAGUGCGGUAGAGGGUAGUGGAAUUCCCGGUGUAGCAGUGAAAUGCGUAGAUAUCGGGAGGAACAUCCGUGGCGAAGGCGACUACCUGGACCAGCACUGACACUGAGGCACGAAAGCGUGGGGAGCAAACAGG